Long non-coding RNA from Oreochromis aureus, 2237 nucleotides. The record is from Ensembl. NCBI's taxonomy places the organism in Eukaryota, Metazoa, Chordata, Actinopteri, Cichliformes, Cichlidae.
ACCUUUCAGUGUUCUCUUUUAGCCUUAAUGUAACACUACUCAGUAUUUUUGAAGCGAGGAGCCUUUUGUUUCUUUCCAUUGAUGUUCUGUCUGUGAAUGAGGUCUUUGGCUCUAUGUGAAUGAGUGAGAAGUCAGUGAAGAUGCCUUAAAUGCUGUGUGGGUAUGAAUUCCUCCUUGUUUUAUUGCAUUUCAUCUCCUGAAAAGAAUAUACACUGUCAAAAGCACCUUGUACAUAGAAUAUAAUAGUAAUAUCCAGAGUUAUGUAUAUUUAAUUUUAUUAUAUACAUUUUUUUAGCAUAGUGUUCUGAGAUUAUUGUGGCUUCCCUCAGCCAAGUGCAUCAUCUUUUGUCUUUGACGACACUGACAAUAUCAUUAAUUUACAAUAUUUUUAAGUCUCAUUAACAUCACAAAGAUAUUUUUUCAUUCGAAGUUUGUUGUUUGUCACCACUUAGAGUUUUGUUAGUAUCUUAACUUAUAUUUAAAUAUUUCAAAUUAACACCACAAAACUACAUAAACUAACACUACCUUCCUGCAUUGCUUUUACUCUGUGUAAAUAUAAGUUAAUGAAAAUCAGGACAUACAGUUAUUAUCCACAUGUAGGAGUCUGAGAUCAUAUUUAGAUGUAUCGGUACUGUCCGUAUUCUGCUGUUUCAGAAUUCAAGAACUAAUUUUAACCCCCAAAUGCUUUUUUUAACAUCUAAAAUUACAAAUAGCAAAUCCAGUUUUGUGAUAAAGAUAAUCAUUUUAUUCCUGUCACUUUAUUGAUCAGUCCAUGCUGGGUCUGACAUGCCAAACACAUGGGACUCUGUGGUUCUGUCUGUGCCUAGACCUCCACAAUGGGAGCCCACACAUAGUGCCACACAUCUGGAUCACUGGCAGUGGAACACUGACGGGCACUGCAGGUGUAGAUGCCACGUGGGGAGCUAAGCUAGCUUAUGAUUGUGAAUGUUACUGAUACAUAUCUGAAAUGUUAAUGAAGUCUGGAGAGGAGAAACUGAACUUUCUAUAAGGUUUCAUAUCACACAGUGAGCGUCAAUUUCCCAUCACCUUUAACUAUACGACUCAUGUUUCAAUAUGUCUGAUAAUGAAUAUUGGCUGGUGUGUGUGUAUAAUGUUUGUGGAGGUUGUGUUUGUAAUUUGCAUUGUGUUGCUUUUUUUAUGUCCCUUUGGCACUUUGGCAAUGUGGUUUUAUGAGUUUGCCCCCAGCUGCCAUGUCAAACUGGGACUGUACUGCAUUGCUAUAUUUAGUGCUCUUUAAACUAACUGGGCCCUUUUGCGUUAUAACAUUUGUACUGUUGUUGUACAUUCAUGCGUUCAGUCUGUCUUUUGGUUGAUGCCAUCACCCUCAGUCCGGUACAAUAUACUCACAAAAUAGAAGUACAUUUGGAUAAUGAUCCAUCAGUAAUCAGUGUGCAUGUACAUAUGCAGAUUGUAUGCACAGAGGGAAGAUGGAGGGGUACAUUGCAUUGGCUUAAAAUAUUCCCUUUAAUUCUUUAGUGGAACUGGCUCGCGAGCUCAAUACUCAUGCAGUUAAAUGCAUUUGUACACAAAGCAGAGGGUAUGUGCAUUUGUUAGGCUGCAGUUUCAGUGUUUUUAUUUUAAACUUCUUCAUUUUGUUAACUAUACGGUAUAAUUUCUCUUUGCACAACGUAACAAGCUCCCUGUGCAUCUGUGUUGCAAAAUGUCUGUGUUUGUGUGUAGAUAAAAGCUUUAGCGCACACAUACUGUAAGUGUAUGCAUGUCUGUGUGAAAUAAUGGAUCGACUGUAAUUCUGUGUGAAUAUGGUGAAUGAAACCGAUCAGAGAUGCUCCAUUUGUUCAAAAUGUGACCAAAGUAGCCAUUGUUUAAUCUCAUAUUCCUUUAUGCAUAUUAUUUUCAAGAAAUGCUUGAAUAUUUUUUUUCCUGAAUGCCAAGAAAGCGAUGUUUAUUUUUGUACUUUUUUUUCAUGCAAAUUAAUAUUUCCCUUUUUUGCUACAGAAUUUAAAGUCAUUGGGCUUAUACAGAAAACUGUCACCCAUUAUGGUACUAUUGAUGGUACUAUAACUGUAUUUAUUGUUGAAAGCAUGCUCUAAAUAUAAGGCUACAGGAAAAAAAACAUAAAUACAUACAAAAUGUGAUUUAUUUGUACAAAAGGGAGCAUAUCCGAUAUUUUUAGGUUUUUAUUCGAGCAUGCAGAUUACUGCUACAAAUUUAGUUUUUUUUAAUAAUCAUUAAGAAGAUUAAUUAUUUAGGAAAAG